Molecule: ribosomal RNA, 564 nt
Filed under: uncultured Glomeromycotina
Lineage: Eukaryota; Fungi; Glomeromycota
Description: SSU rRNA
Rfam family: Eukaryotic small subunit ribosomal RNA
Source: RNAcentral
UUGGAGGGCAAGUCUGGUGCCAGCAGCCGCGGUAAUUCCAGCUCCAAUAGCGUAUAUUAAAGUUGUUGCAGUUAAAAAGCUCGUAGUUGAAUUUCGGGAUCAGAGUGUCGGUCGUGCCUCGGUACGCACUGGUAUUAUUGGUUCCUACCUUCUGAAGAACCGCGAUGUCAUUAAUUUGGUGUCGUGGGGAAUCAGGACUGUUACUUUGAAAAAAUUAGAGUGUUUAAAGCAGGCUCACGCUUGAAUACAUUAGCAUGGAGUAAUGAAAUAGGACGUUUGAUUCUAUUUUGUUGGUUUCUAGGAUUGACGUAAUGAUUAAUAGGGAUAGUUGGGGGCAUUAGUAUUCAAUUGUCAGAGGUGAAAUUCUUGGAUUUAUUGAAGACUAACUACUGCGAAAGCAUUUGCCAAGGAUGUUUUCAUUAAUCAAGAACGAAAGUUAGGGGAUCGAAGACGAUCAGAUACCGUCGUAGUCUUAACCAUAAACUAUGCCGACUAGGGAUCGGAUGAUGUUAAUUUUUUAAUGACUCAUUCGGCGCCUUACGGGAAACCAAAGUGUUUGGGUUC